AAACACAUUUCAUUACACCAAAAACUCAAAAUAAUGACCUUUUUAGAAACAUCAUAUGACCCCUUUAAGAGAUUUUUCUUUAUCUCAAGGUUAAAUAUCUUUGAAUUUGUUUUGAGUUGUGAAUUCAAAUUAAAUAAAAAUGGUAAUACUUGCAAUUACUCCCAAAACUUUGUUACAGAAGUCAGCAGCACUGUUUUUUCAAGGAAACACAAUUCUUAUUUUUGUGUUUCGUUUAUGACAGCUGAAUUCAGACAGUUCCACUUAUCGGACGUUAUGGAUUUGCAGUCUAUGGAGAGUGUUGUUGGGUCUCUAAAUGAUGGAAUUGUCUCUAUCUGUAACAUCUUCAAGUCUCUCUUGGAUGCACAAGUUGAUCCCACCACUGGCAUGUGCAGUAAUUAUGAACAAAUCAGGAAGCAUAUUAUCCAAGCUGACCAUUUCCUGGAAAAAUCAGAGACAAUGAUUAAGGAAAAACUAAAAAAUUUAGAUGAAUGCAUGGAGCGACUUAUUCAAGAAAAAGGAAAUGCUGAGCAGCAGAACAAAGAAAAACGCAAUGCAAUGGAUAAAUUACACAUCGAGAAGAACUCUGCUGAAGAAUCAUUAAAGAAUUCUAAAGCAGCUUUGGAACAGGCUGAAAAAAUGAUAGCAUUGACAAAAGAUGAACUACAAAGACAGCAAGCUAGACAUAACACUGGCACAGGUGUAACAAUUGGAGGGGCGGUAGUGGCUGCAAUACCAAUUAUCGGAUGGAUUCCUGGUAUAAUAAUGAUGUCUGUGGGAGCUAGUGAAAUUGUUAAGGCUUCAA
This is a long non-coding RNA of Cyprinus carpio (common carp), 802 nucleotides long. The record is from Ensembl. NCBI's taxonomy places the organism in Eukaryota, Metazoa, Chordata, Actinopteri, Cypriniformes, Cyprinidae.